AGAGUUUGAUCCUGGCUCAGAUUGAACGCUGGCGGCAGGCUUAACACAUGCAAGUCGAGCGGAGAUGAGGUGCUUGCACCUUAUCUUAGCGGCGGACGGGUGAGUAAUGCUUAGGAAUCUGCCUAUUAGUGGGGGACAACAUUCCGAAAGGAAUGCUAAUACCGCAUACGUCCUACGGGAGAAAGUAGGGGAUCUUCGGACCUUGCGCUAAUAGAUGAGCCUAAGUCGGAUUAGCUAGUUGGUGGGGUAAAGGCCUACCAAGGCGACGAUCUGUAGCGGGUCUGAGAGGAUGAUCCGCCACACUGGGACUGAGACACGGCCCAGACUCCUACGGGAGGCAGCAGUGGGGAAUAUUGGACAAUGGGGGGAACCCUGAUCCAGCCAUGCCGCGUGUGUGAAGAAGGCCUUAUGGUUGUAAAGCACUUUAAGCGAGGAGGAGGCUACUGAGACUAAUACUCUUGGAUAGUGGACGUUACUCGCAGAAUAAGCACCGGCUAACUCUGUGCCAGCAGCCGCGGUAAUACAGAGGGUGCGAGCGUUAAUCGGAUUUACUGGGCGUAAAGCGUGCGUAGGCGGCUUUUUAAGUCGGAUGUGAAAUCCCCGAGCUUAACUUGGGAAUUGCAUUCGAUACUGGGAAGCUAGAGUAUGGGAGAGAAUGGUAGAAUUCCAGGUGUAGCGGUGAAAUGCGUAGAGAUCUGGAGGAACACCGAUGGCGAAGGCAGCCAUCUGGCCUAAUACUGACGCUGAGGUACGAAAGCAUGGGGAGCAAACAGGAUUAGAUACCCUGGUAGUCCAUGCCGUAAACGAUGUCUACUAGCCGUUGGGGCCUUUGAGGCUUUAGUGGCGCAGCUAACGCGAUAAGUAGACCGCCUGGGA
Molecule: ribosomal RNA, 876 nt
Filed under: uncultured organism
Description: bacterial SSU rRNA
Rfam family: Bacterial small subunit ribosomal RNA
Source: RNAcentral